This 83-nucleotide non-coding RNA is filed under the name Palpitomonas bilix. The record is from RNAcentral.
GGAAAAAGACAAGCAAGAAGCAUGGAAAAGAAGGAUUCAAUUAUGGUUUCCUUUUUUGUUCUUUUCUUUCUUGUUGUUGUCCA